GAUGAACGCUGGCGGUAUGCUUAACACAUGCAAGUCGAACGGACUCUUCGGAGUUAGUGGCGGACGGGCGAGUAAUGCGUGAGAAUCUGGCUUUGGGUUCGGGACAACCACUGGAAACGGUGGUUAAUACCGGAUGUGACGAGAGGUAACAGAGAAAUUGCCUGAAGAUGAGCUCGCGUCUGAUUAGCUAGUUGGUGAGGACAAGGCUCACCAAGGAAGCGAUCAGUAGCUGGUCUGAGAGGAUGACCAGCCACACUGGGACUGAGGCACGACCCAGACUCCUACGGGAGGCAGCAGUGGGGAAGAAUCCGCAAUGGGCGGAAAACUGACGAAGCAGUACCGCGGGGGGGAAGAAGGCUCAUGGGUUGUAGUACUCUUUUCUUAGGGAAGAACAAAAUGACGGUACCUAAGGAAGCAGCAUCGGCUAACUCCGUG
Molecule: ribosomal RNA, 435 nt
Filed under: uncultured bacterium
Lineage: Bacteria
Description: partial 16S ribosomal RNA
Rfam family: Bacterial small subunit ribosomal RNA
Source: RNAcentral